UGGAGGCCACGUUUGGAUCCUGACUGCCUA
Molecule: non-coding RNA, 30 nt
Filed under: Mus musculus (house mouse)
Lineage: Eukaryota; Metazoa; Chordata; Mammalia; Rodentia; Muridae
Source: RNAcentral